AUAAUACCGCUGUGGCAGCCGCGACUCAUAACCCACAGCCCACGACCCGCGACCCACGACCUACGACCUACGACCCUCGAUUACCGAUUCUCGGGCCUGUGGCAGCGGUUACGACUCGAAUAGCAGCAGACCAGAAGGAGGUUGGCAGCGGGGUAGGGAACUGAGGCCCGGCUUCGGUUAUAGUUUGCCGUUCAGUUUGCUCUACAUACUGCAUAAGCAAACAUAUUUUAAUUUGAGGUUGUGUUUACAUUCUGCUCUGUGCCACGCUUCAAGUCACACAACACGGCAGCAGGAUCUACAACUACAGCAACAGAAACAAUAAUAAGAACAGGACCUAGGACAACGUGAAUAACAGCAUCAGCAGGUCCACCCUACACAUGGCAACACAAACUUCUCUGACUAAGUUACAAAAAUUUAAUUUACCAAGUUGUUGGUGCUGUGACUUUGUGAUGUACUCAUGUAAAAUGUUUUUAUUGUAAAGCACCGAACUCAAAAUACUAAAAUAAACCGAAUUAAAAUAAUUAUAUUAAGGAGCA
Long non-coding RNA from Drosophila subpulchrella, 536 nucleotides. RefSeq lists it as uncharacterized. The record is from RefSeq and is a predicted model, not a curated record. The transcript has 3 exons. NCBI's taxonomy places the organism in Eukaryota, Metazoa, Arthropoda, Insecta, Diptera, Drosophilidae.